Molecule: long non-coding RNA, 208 nt
Organism: Stegastes partitus (bicolor damselfish)
Lineage: Eukaryota; Metazoa; Chordata; Actinopteri; Pomacentridae
Exons: 4
Source: RefSeq, a predicted model, not a curated record
AUGUUCUUUUUUGUGUUGUCAUUGCCGUGGGUGUGAGAUGUUGGAGCGCGAAAAGUGAAGUGUGCGUGUGCCCGCUGUUGCACCGACAGCUUGUUUGUGUUACCAGUCCUGCCGGUGAAGUAAUAAAAGUGAGCUCGUGUUUCUACACCAUACUGUCGUGGUCUGAGUGGUGUAACACUUACAAUAAAUUGCUUGUAAAACUAAAAUC